UUAAAAUAAGCUAUUAAGGGCUAAUGGUGGAUGCCUAGACUGUAAGAGGCGAUGAAGGACGUACUAGACUGCGAUAAGUCUUGGGGAGCUGUCAAGAAGCUUUGAUCCAGGAAUUUCCGAAUGGGACAACCCAGCAUGGUGUGAAUCAUGUUAUCCAGUAAUGGAGGCGAACCAGGGGAAGUGAAACAUCUCAGUACCCUGAGGAAGAGAAAUCAAAUGAGAUUCCGUCAGUAGCGGCGAGCGAACGCGGAUUAGGACAAACCCUAUGCUUGCAUAGGGGGUUGUAGGACCAAGAUAUGAGACCAAAGAAGAUAGAUGAGAUAGUUGGAAAGCUAUAGUAUAAAAGGUGAUACUCCUGUAAUCGAAAUCUUCAAUGGCUCUAUUGGUAUCCUGAGUAGGACGGAACACGUGAUAUUUUGUCUGAAUCUAGGGGGACCACCCUCUAAUCCUAAAUACUACUUACAGAUCGAUAGUGAACAAGUACCGUGAGGGAAAGGUGAAAAGUACCCCAGUGAGGGGAGUGAAAUAGAACCUGAAACCAUUAGCUUACAAUCAUUCGGAGCCCUAUGUUGCUUGCAACAGGGUGACGGACUGCCUUUUGCAUAAUGAGCCUGCGAGUUGUGGUGUCUGGCAAGGUUAAGUCAAGUACGAAGCCGUAGCGAAAGCGAGUCUUAAUAGGGCGAAUUAGUCAGAUGCUGCAGACCCGAAACGAAGUGAUCUAUCCAUGAGCAGGUUGAAGCUGGUGUAAGAGCUAGUGGAGGACCGAACCCGUAGGCGUUGAAAAGUCUUGGGAUGACUUGUGGAUAGGGGUGAAAGGCCAAUCAAACUUCGUGAUAGCUGGUUCUCUCCGAAAUAUAUUUAGGUAUAGCCUUAUGUAGUAACAUAUAG
This 888-nucleotide ribosomal RNA is filed under the name Arcobacter sp. RNAcentral describes it as "bacterial LSU rRNA". It matches the Rfam family "Bacterial large subunit ribosomal RNA", at positions 1 to 899 of the family's 2925-position model. The record is from RNAcentral. Lineage: Bacteria; Pseudomonadati; Campylobacterota; Epsilonproteobacteria; Campylobacterales; Arcobacteraceae.